This is a long non-coding RNA of Prionailurus viverrinus (fishing cat), 1366 nucleotides long. RefSeq lists it as uncharacterized. The transcript has 2 exons. NCBI's taxonomy places the organism in Eukaryota, Metazoa, Chordata, Mammalia, Carnivora, Felidae. The record is from RefSeq and is a predicted model, not a curated record.
GAGCCUGUUUCCGAUUCUGUGUCUCCCUCUCUCUCUGCCCCUCCCCCGUUCAUGCUCUGUCUCUCUCUGUCCCAAAAAUAAAUAAACAUUGAAAAAAAAAAAUUAAAAAAAAUAUAAAUUGCUACAAGAAUGGCAACAUGUAGAAAGUGAGGUAUUGUCAGAUGCUGAUGAGGAUGUGAGGAUAAAAGGAAAAUCGUGGGUGGGAGCAUAAACGGAAACAGGUAUUCCAGAGACUAAUUUGGCAAUACUUCCCGGAGUUCAGUAGGUGUAGACCGUACAACAUAGCAACUGCACUCCUGAAUAUAUAUUCCAGAGAAAUAGAUACCUGGGAAAUUCUUCUCCAGGUCCUUAAGGAAAUACAGUUGAGGUUAUUUGUUCUAGCAUUGUUUGUGGUGGUGAAGAAUUGGGAGCAAUCCAGGUGUCCAUCACCAUGGGACCAGAUAAGCAAACUGUGGUAUAUUUAUAGGAUGCAAAAUAUAAAGCAAUCAAAAGAAAUGAGCUAAAUUCACUAGAGUCGUACAGAUAGAUCUCCAAAGGCUAGUGUGGACUGAAAGGUGAAUGAGAUUUACAGCAUAACACCAUUUAUGUAACUGUAAAACAACACUGUUUUCAUGGAUAUGCAUAUACCAAAAUAAACAUAUGGAAGAUGGGUUGGAAGUGUAUAUACAUGAAAUACACUUGAGUAGCACAGUGAGGUGGGCAGUAGAAUGGGAGUGGGAAUGGGAAUUGAAAGGGAAAAGAUAAUACAAUGAAAUAAAGCAAAAGAGGGGCCUUGGAUAAACUGAGGAAAACAAUACCAUGGACUGAAGAGCAUGAGUAACAACACAAUGCCAAAGUUGACCACAAAUCAAUGAGAACGAACAGGAGGAUGGCCAGAGUUUAUGUGUGGUGGUGUGUGGUGUCAGGACAACAUCCCAGGGCUCCAGCUGUGGGGAUAAGCAGGACCAGUAGCAGCAUUCUCACCUGGCUGCUCCCACAGUGUGGCUUUAGCUGUGGCUUCUGCCCACGUCCCCAGAUUUCUGUGAAAUACCUGAUAACCUUGUAAUAAAUCCCUUUUCUGCUUAAGUUAACUAGAAUCCGUUUCUGUUACCGGCAUCCAAGAAUCCUGACUGAGACACCAUGCAUUUUGGUGGAGAACAUCCUCAAGUAACUUCUUAAGAAAGUCGUGCUGCCUGGAGCUGUGACAGCAAUCUUGUGACUGUGAGGAGCUGAGCAUGAGGAUGAAGAUACAGCACAUGAAGGAAGAAACAGAGCCUGGCUCCCCGAUGGCAUCACUGCGCAGCUGAACCCGUGCCACACUUAUGUUAAUAAUAAACUAACUUCCCGAAAAAUAAAUAAAUGAAUGAGUAAAGCCAUAAGUGUUUAA